RNA transcript from Athene cunicularia (burrowing owl), 6481 nucleotides. It is a transcript of the gene named ankyrin repeat and BTB domain containing 2, with no coding region annotated. The transcript is spliced from 18 exons. Lineage: Eukaryota; Metazoa; Chordata; Aves; Strigiformes; Strigidae. The record is from RefSeq and is a predicted model, not a curated record.
CGCCACCGCCGGCUGCCGCCGACCGGCCCUCCCCCGAGGCAGAAGAUGGCUGAGAGCAGCCUCCCUGCGGGAUGGAGGUAGCCGGCCCUCGGCGGAGCCGGCGUGCGGGGAGGGCUCCUGCCCGCUGUGCUGCGAAUCCUCCCGCUCCGUUGGUGGGGCGGGCAGCUCCGACUCGGUAGGCGCAGGAAGGAUCUGUCCCAGCCUCACCUUUCGUGCUCUUUGCGGUUGGUUUAACCCGUCUUUCCUAUGGCUGGGAUAUACAGCUCUACUCUGAAGACCCUGGAGGAUUUAACUUUGGACUCUGGUUAUGGGGCAGGGGAUUCCUGCAGGUCCCUUAGUCUCUCUUCUUCCAAGUCCAAUUCCCAGGCUUUCACCUCUUCUCAGCACAGAGGCAACUGGUGGUACUACUCGGGCUCCAUGAACAGUAGGAAUAACAGCUGGGAUACCGUGAACACUGUCCUGCCGGAAGACCCCGAGGUUGCAGAUAUCUUUUCCAAGUGUCCUAAACUGCCGGAUCUAGAGGAAUACCCAUGGACCGAUGAAGACAUUGGAAAAAUACUCAGAAAAGGGAAGGGAGAUGGUAAUACCAGAACCUUUUCGCAGGAAGCUGUCAGGCGCCUUUCGCAGUUACUGAGGCGCGCCUUGAUCAGAGUCUCCAGGGAAGCUCAGCGGCUCAGCGUGAUGCACUCCAAGUGCACCAGGUUUGAGGUGCAGAGCGCUAUCAAGCUCAUUCAGAGCUGGUCCUUGUCGGAAAGCUGUGUCCUGGCGACUGUCAAGGCGCUUUCUCUGUACAGCAUGAGUGCUGGAGACGGACUGAGGAAAGGUAAAUCAGCCAGAUGUGGCCUUACCUUUUCCGUGGGGAGGUUUUUCAGGUGGAUGGUGGACACUAGGAUCUCGGUUAGGAUCCAUGAGUAUGCAGCCAUCUCUUUAACCGCUUGCAUGGAAAACCUUGUAGAAGAGAUUAAGGCUAGGGUUUUGGCAAGUCAGAGCCCGGAUGGUGGAGGAGGGGAGAUCUCGGCUGAAAUCCUGGAGAUGGUUAUCAACAACGAUGCAGAACUUUGGGGAGUGUUGCAGCCUUAUGAGCAUCUCAUCUGUGGGAAAAAUGCAAAUGGUGUGCUGUCUCUGCCUGCCUACUUCAGCCCAUACAAUGAUGGCUCCAUGUGCAGCGAUGGACGGGCUGAUGCUUACGCCCAGCUGGAACUCCGAACUUUAGAGCAGUCUCUGUUGGCAACUUGCGUUGGAAGCAUCUCUGAACUGAGUGAUUUGGUAUCCCGAGCAAUGCACCACAUGCAGUGCUUGAACACCAUCCGCCCAGGCAUGAGCCCCAUCCGGCAAACCCGGCAGCAGCAACCCAUCUCCUGGUCCCCUGAUGCUCUCCACACCCUCUACUACUUCCUACGCUGUCCUCAAAUGGAGUCCAUGGAGAACCCCAACCUUGACCCUCCAAGAAUGACCCUGAACAACGAACGGCCCUUCAUGCUUCUGCCACCGCUGAUGGAGUGGAUGAGAGUGGCUAUCACCUACGCUGAGCACCGGCGCAGUUUAACUGUGGACAGUGAUGAUAUCAGGCAGACAGCCAGACUGCUCCUACCUGGACUGGACUGUGAGCCCCGGCAGCUAAAACCUGAAUGCUGCUUUAGUUCCUUCCGGAGACUGGACGCUAAGGCUGCUACUGAAAGAUUCCAGCAGGAUCUGGGUUUCCGAAUGCUAAACUGUGGGAGGACAGAUCUGAUCAACCAAGCAAUCGAUGCGCUGGGGCCUGACGGGGUUAACACCAUGGAUGAUCAGGGUAUGACCCCACUAAUGUAUGCCUGUGCUGCUGGAGAUGAAGCCAUGGUCCAAAUGCUCAUAGAUGCUGGAGCGAAUUUAGAUAUACCAGUUCCCAGUACCUCUCCGCGAUACCCGUCAGUCCAUCCCGACAGCCGGCACUGGACUGCUCUCACCUUUGCUGUGUUACACGGGCACAUCUCUGUCGUUCAGCUGCUCUUGGAUGCCGGUGCCCACGUUGAGGGCUCUGCCGUGAACAGCGAAGACAACUACGCCGAGACCCCUCUCCAGCUGGCUUCAGCAGCAGGGAACUAUGAGCUGGUCAGCUUAUUGCUAAGCCGGGGCGCUGACCCGCUCCUGAGUAUGCUGGAAGUCAAUGGGAUGUCAUCAUCGCUGCAUGAAGAUAUGAAUUGCUUCAGUCACUCAGCUGCACAUGGGCACAGGAACGUUCUGCGCAAGCUCCUGACCCAGCCCCAGCAACUGAAGGGAGAUGUCCUCUCCCUGGAGGAGAUUUUAGCAGAGGGAGUGGAGAGUGACACCUCCAGCCAGGGCAGCUCCAGUGAGGGGCAAGUCAGGCUCUGUAAAACAAGAAUGAAGGCUCUGCAGGAGGCCAUGUACUACAGCGCUGAGCACGGCUAUGUAGACAUCACCAUGGAGCUCAGGGCACUUGGGGUCCCAUGGAAGCUCCACGUGUGGAUCGAGUCCCUGCGGACAACCUUCUACCAGUCCCGUUACUCAGUCGUACAGACCCUCCUGCGGGAAUUUGUCACCAUUAAAGAAGAGGACUAUAAUGAAGAACUGGUUAACGAAGGGUUGCAGCUCAUGUUUGAUAUCCUCAAAACCAGCAAGAAUGAUUCCAUCAAUCAGCAGCUUGCGUCCAUCUUCACCCACUGCUACGGCACCAGCCCGAUACCCAGCAUUCCUGAAAUCCGGAAGACACUGCCAGCUCGGCUAGAUCCUCACUUCCUAAACAAUAAAGAAAUGUCUGAUGUAACUUUCUUAGUAGAAGGAAAGCUAUUUUAUGCACACAAAGUCCUGCUGGUUACUGCAUCUAACAGGUUUAAGACGCUGAUGACCAAUAAAACAGAACAUGACAGCCAUGGCAGCAAGACUGUUGAAAUCAGCGAUAUGAAAUACAAUAUUUUCAAGAUGCUGAUGCAGUAUUUAUACUACGGAGGAACAGAAUCUAUGGAAAUUCCCACCACUGAUAUCUUAGAGCUGUUGUCCGCUGCCAGCCUGUUUCAACUGGACGGCCUCCAGAGACACUGUGAAAUCCUCUGUGCCCAGACCAUCAGCAUGGAGAACUCUGUUAACAUCUAUAAAUACGCAAAGAUUCACAACGCACCUGAACUAGCCUCAUUUUGUGAAGGCUUCUUCCUCAAGCAUAUGAGCUCUCUCCUAGAACAGGACUCAUUCAAACAGCUGAUCUACAGCCGGAACAGCAAAGUGCAAGGCCUGGACCCUCUGCGAGACCUGCAGACAGCCCUGGCCGGCCGCCUGCACUCCGUGUAUGUCACCUCCAGGGUGUGAGGCGGGAGGGAGGCAGUGGCAGGAGCCCCGCUUCAAACGGCAAAGCUCUGGCUUUCCUGGUCGCCUUUGGGAUCUUGCUGAAAGCCCCCCACAACAGCUGUUCCCCAGGCGAGGGUGCUGGGCCUCGUCCACGACCAGGGGGAGCUGGCUUCUCUGUGCUACUACUGUCACAGAAACACUGUCACAGCACAAACAAGAACUGAGGAUGCAAGUGAAGAGCCUCAACUGAAGAGAAGAUCAAUGCUGCCAUUUCAAAAAGCACACUGCAGGGCUGUAGAGAAGUGAGGCAACCCAACACCUAAUUGUAGUCUUAAGUGUCUGUCUACACCCCAUAAUGGCCACCUAGUUCAUACGCAUUAGAUGUUUUACUUGUAAAAAGGCUGCACAGAAGGAGUUUUCUAACCCUCUGGACCACUGCCUGCUCAGCAAGUCACCUGUCUGAACACAAAGGCUGGUGUCCACAAACUACUUCACUCUAGUAAUAAAUACCAGUGGCUACACCUGGCAAGACUCUGACAUAAAUUUUCCCCCAAACUGCUUGCACCUUGAGAGAGAGAUAUUUUGUAGAUGUUCAAAGCUGAGUAGAAACUAACACUAACUCUGAAAUUACUCACUCUUUAAACCUAGUAUGAGAAACCGAGCUGGGGCAGGGACAGGAGUAUUGGUUUUUUUGUAUUUUUUUAAUACGGUUUCACUGUGCUAGUUGUUAAUCUGUUUUGAGGAGAGAAGAAAGACUAUCUACCCUUUCACUAUCAAGGCCUGAUAGUGAAAUCUAUCACUUUCACCUUAAAAACCUGUUUCUGAACAUUAUCUGUGAAACCUGACACCAUAAAAAAUGUUUUCUAACAGACUCAGGUGUAGUAGGAGCUAGCACUGUGCUGAAAAACUGUCCAGUAACAUAAAGAGCAAUAAAAGUCUCCCUGAGACCCUGAGGAACAUACAGCUUGAUGCUCUCACCUCUAGUCUCCACCUCCACAGCCUCAGCCAUGGAAUGUUUCCACAGCUACGCUACCUCAGGGGGGACUGGGCCCAGCGUGCACCUGACAGGCUCCUAGAGGUAGGCUGCAGUCUAACAUUUAGGCAGCAGCACUUGAACAAGAUGCCUCAACUCAAAUGCCCAAGAUUCGCUUUCUUUGCUUUGUUCAGAGCUGAUGCUUUCUGGCCCAAAAGGACUCAUUCGAGGCUGCCUUCGAGCUGGCUGACUUAGGAGAAUGAAAUGGAGAUAGUUCAAUCUAGAGUUUUGAGUCUGAAGCAAUGUUUUUGUGUGUGUUUUUUGAUUUUAAAUAAUCCCAACCUUAGGAAAGCAGUUACUUGUGUAAAAACACAGACCUUGCUCUUACCAAUAGCUUUAAGGAAAGACCUUCAGGUGUUCCCACACUGAUCUCUGUUAGCACCCACCGAAAGCAUUUGCUAAGACACUUUUGUUCGUUAUAGGUGGGUGAAGCAGAUGAGAAAGCAAAGUUUUCAGUGGAGAACUACUGCUUCUUAGAAAUGCAACAAUUAAUACUGUAACUAAACACACUGGAAGGAGGAGGCGGCUCAGCUGGGCCCAAGCUCCAAAGCACAACACAGACAUGGUUGAGGUAGGUCAAGGGAAGGAGAACAAACUCCAGCAUCUCCCAACAGCUCCAUCGAAGUCUGACCGUGCCUCAUCCCUGAAGGAUUUCCACGGGAGGCAGACUGCACGCGAGGACGAGAAUGAUCAGUCUCAGCUCAGUACUGACAGGCACCUUCUAAUCUGUGCUUUAAGUACACACCCACUCCUGACUAUCACCAGCUUCAGUAACCCUAUUUAUUGUCAGAAAGCCAUACAGGUGUUUCAAAAUUAUCACUGGUCUGCCUGAAAAAUACCACAAAAGGCUUUAUCUUGGAAAGUAUUUUCAAGUAGCUGCUCCAGCUAUCUGUACAAAUAUGUAGGUCCUCUUUUGUUGCUGUAAUAUUACAAUGCUUUGUUAAUUGUACAUUAAUGUUGUCAUUUAUGUAAAUGUACCAGGAUUUUAUUAACAACGUAAUUUUAAAAUACACAGCUGCUGUUGUUUAUUCUGCUCUUCUAACAACAACAAAAACUGUAUUUAAAGACACUUCUGUGGAAAAGGCAGUUGUGGCUUCAGCAUCUUAAAUUUCUUUUGGUAUAUAUAGCUAAUGCUAUGCUUUAAGACAAGGGAUAAAGAAGCAUUAACUUCCCCUUCCUAGGCUCAAACAUUUUUUGAAGUGGCAAGUUUAACUUGAAUUGUCCCUAGCUGCAGUAAGUUUACCUGCUUUCCAUCGAAAAGCAGCCAGAUGGUAGUGUCUAAGAAAAAUCCUAAUUCUAAGAUCCUUCUCUGCAGCAGAAGAAACAGUGAGAGACUUAAAACAACUAUUAACCUGUAGGUAUUCAAGCAGUCCUCAGAAGUUAAACAUCUGAUUCACUUCCAAAUCUGAAAAAGAAGAUGUGAAAAAGCAGGUAAUGCUCCCUUCUGGAGCCACCUCAGACCUCCAGAGGCCACAGUGGCUCUGGCUGGGCAGUGGCUGGUGCCUCCCCGUGGCAGUAGCGGGGUUUGUGUCAGAGCAUUGAGAACGCCCCAACAGCCGCACAAAGCCAGGCCUGCAGCCCUACAGGGAGCAAGGGCAUUUUUUAAUCUAUGAGGUGAGAAGUAUGCAGGUUUAAUUCCGCUGUCAGAGCAAGAAUUUGACCCAGAAAUGUCUUCCCUUUCCCUCCCCAAAGUUUACCUCAUAAAUCUUACAGACCUCUACCAUGUUUGGGGAUAAUGGCUGAGCUGUAACUCUGAAUUUGGUGCUACCUCUACAGGACUCGAAUACUUUCUUAGGUCACUAAGCACAUUUCAGAGGAAACCAUUAAUACAGCCAGAACCUGCACUGGGCUGCUGAGACUUCGUAAUUGCUCCUUUUGUUGCAUUUCCCACCACACAUCUGAACAAAGGGAACUGUGCAGAGUAUCUCUGUGGUGUAGCAAGACUUGAAAUCCAGUUCUAUAAUAAAUUACUGUCACAAGCAUUUCUUAGCAUUUGAUUUACAUCAUCUGAGAGAAGUCUGCUGGGAGCGAUGCAUGAGGGGUGCUUUCUCUUGCGUUGUGCCGUUCCACCGGCACUCUUGGAAACCCACCAAUACAAACACCGACUUGCUCUCAAGAGUCACGGAAUACAAACACGCGAGAUUCCCUUUGGAACACUUUUACUCUAAGAAG